Molecule: RNA transcript, 4860 nt
Organism: Spodoptera frugiperda (fall armyworm)
Lineage: Eukaryota; Metazoa; Arthropoda; Insecta; Lepidoptera; Noctuidae
Gene name: 15-hydroxyprostaglandin dehydrogenase [NAD(+)]-like
Exons: 3
Source: RefSeq, a predicted model, not a curated record
UGAGCGUGAGCUAUAGAUACGUACUUCAGCAUGAAGGUACCGACUCCACCGUGCACGGGAAUGAUACCACGGCCUGAAAGAAAAUUGGCAUUAAACAACGCUUGCGUUGGUCCAAUCCCUUCCCCUUACAAAAAGACCGGCAAAGCACUUGUAAGUCCUCUGGUGUUGUCCAUGGGCACCGCUGAUAACUUACUGUCAAGUAAUUAAAUUACUCCUAUACUGUAUCACAUCAAAAUCUAGAAAUUAACUUUCAAUAACAAACAAUGUCGUAGGUAAUACGUAGUAUCGAAAUUGCCUUAACUGUGACCGAUAACACGCAGUAUGUAGAAUCAUUAUUAGUCCGUUGUAUGCGACACGUAGGUAUUACAAUUUAUACACUAUGUACUAUGUAGGUAUCUACUGCGAAUAUAGAUAGCGAAUGAUUGUCCUUGUGUUCAACGCUGCAUAUUUCGCGCAAUUUUAAUCAAACUCAUCUAGAUAUUUUGUAAUCUCUGUAAAUGUAAACAUAGCAUAUUAAUUAAAAAUAUUGAUACUUCCCGCCGGUAUCGUAAGUAUACACGGUGUAUCAAAAAGGGGGUAUACAUAUCAAGUGUUCGGUUUCUAGAUAACAUAACAAACGAUAAGGGAAGGGUUUUUUAAACUCAUGUUUUCAUGGAACGAAGUUAUGAAUUUUUCCAAUAUUAAUUUUUUAUUUAUCAUGCGAAUUAAAAUUAGGUAGAUAGGUACUAGGUGAUCAGAUUUACAGAAGAAAUGUUUCGAAAUUAGCAAGCGACCCUUGUAGUGUUGUGACACGUUUGUAUGAUUUAUAAGAUCCAUGUGACACCAAGUAUUGGGUACCAAUUUUUUUAAACGUAUUUUAAGCUGAAACUUUGUUUAGAGAUUCUAUUUUUAACCUGUAUUCUUCAGUGCUUCUUGAUGUAUAUGGGUAUUUUGUUACACGCUGUAUAGCUGCAUAGUGACGGUAGGGAUUUGAGUUAGGGAUAGGGCGCUUUUGUCACCACUCUUACUCUUCAUGCGAGUAUCGAGAGAGUCAAAUAAGGGAUCACGUAUUGACCAGAGACCCGGAAGCAACGUUUUUUGAUAAACCUGGUUGUUUUAAAUGGCUAUAUACAACUCCCUUACCAAAUGUGCAGAUCGAAAUUAUGCCAGGAUCGAAAAGCAGGAGUAGGAACGGAGUGAUUUUUAGUCAGUAAGAGCCUGACACUUCCUCUUGCCUCGCCCAAGGCGGGAGAAGCCAUUGGAUUAUUUUCCUCCCUCAAAAAAGCCCUCUUUUACAGAGUAGGUUUAUAGUCUAGCACUGGACUCUCUCGGGCAAAACAAUGAGGUAUAUCGAGUAAAUUUUUCUCCUAAUAAUACCUUCAUUAUACCCUGAGAGUUAUCGCAAAAAUGCAUGGAUAAUAAGUAAUUGAGUAAUUAUAUCACUAGGUAAACACUUCAAUAAUCCUGUCGUAAGCAUCAAUUACUCUUAUUUCCAUUUCGAUUAUAUAAUUGGGUGUAUCAAAAGUCAAACUGACAAAAAUAAAAUAAACAUAACAUAACGUCUUAGCAACAAUUUAAUCAGUAUUCCAAGACUUUACAUGCAGCAAAACGCAUGGAUACGAACGGCAUGAUAAUAGUCAUAAGAAAAACACAGACACUUUUUUUAAUACAUAACAAGAUAAACAUGUGGUUAUAUGAUACGAAACAUUAUUUUUUUUUUGUAUGACCCAUGCAUUGUCGUUCCAUGUCUGGUAGCGAUAAUAAUAUAAUCUUUUAUUUUCAUAUAAUCACUCCAUAAAAAAAAUGUCUGUAAAAUAUGUUUUAGUAAACGCACUCAUACAAGUCUAAAUACUAACAUAUUCAUACUUUGUAAUCUUCAUUUAUACUUUAGUUCCAGCUUUUGUCUAACAUGCUUGUAGCGUGUACCAUCACUCGCUAAGUUGUCCACCUUCAAUCAGCCACAUGGUCCCAUUGUCAGCUCCAUCAUACAUUUCCACUUCAAUUUUAGAAAUUAUUCCAGAAAAUUAUGGUUUGGCAUUGUUUGCUUCGCGCUCGUCUUGGCGACCUUCAAAUUAGCCUAAUUACCCCUCUUCUCAAUCCUAGAUUGCCCAACAAUCCUAAAAUAUAUAUAAUACCUCUGGUGUUUCGGGUAUCCAUGUCCGGGCGACGGCGAUUGCUUACCACCAGCGAUCCGUAUGCUGGUUUACCAGCAAUUAAAAAAAAAAUCUUUUUUAAAAAUUCAUACAAUCACGUUCGUGACAACAUUGACACAAGAAGUUUACAAUGUGUAUAUACGAACAGACAAAAUAACCGCCUUGUUAUAGUUAACAAGCUCCCGGGGCAUGAACUAAUUUACAUGUAAACCGCUUACAACGCGCGCGCCGUCAGAUGUCAGGCUUAGUGGCACGGCCUUAGCAGUGUAAAAAUUGUAUCGAUAGGCUUACAUGAGGUGAUACUUUUACACCUGACUGCCUGCUUGGUUAUGUCGGUAGAGUAACAACAUUGUUUUGGGAGCUAUUCCCAGUUCCAUUACAAGAUAUUACGCAUUUUGCUAGCAGAUUUCCUACUAUUUUGGUACGGUUGUUGUAAGUGAAACAUCAAACUUACUAAUCAGGAUUUUUCACUUCAAUGUCUUUAAUGUAAAAUAUAUUAUGGUGGCCCGUAGGUUUUAAGAUUCUCUCCUCAUGCACAAAGCGCGGGUUCGAAACCUACCAACGGUAAGUAUCAAUGUGACUUUUUCCGAGUUACUUUCUAAGUUUAUUUAGACACCACUGACAAACCGUGAAGAAUAACAUCGUGAGGAAUCUUGGGCAUAAGUUUAAAGUCGCCAACCUAUAUUAACCAAACGUGGCGAUUAAUGUUCAAACCUUCUCCAUGCGAGAAGACGCUUUGGUCAGCAGUGGUCACUAAUAGGCUGUUGAUGUGCGUGUAAAAGGUCUCAAUAUUUACUUUAUUUCCUGAAUACAAAUGAAAUAUUUCCACAUUUUAUUUCAUAUGUCCAAUGAAUCAGAGAUCAUUAUACCCCAAGCGAUGCGCAGUAAAGUAUAAAAAAUAACAAGGUGCUCAGAUAAUGACAAGGAUUCACUCGUUACUGUCGCUCUUAAUUGCUACAGAUAGAUGUCACUACCUGGCUUACAGUUUACAAAAUAAUAACGCAAACUAUGAAUCUUGUAUUCAUAUACGGAAUUUGGAUUUAUGAAAUCUGGGUCACAUUGAUACUUUGGAUUUGUUUAAUUCUAAUGCUCUGCCUAAAAGAGCCUAGAAAAAAUGGUUUCAACAAACAAACUUCUUUCUCAAAUACAUUGUAAUAUAGUGUCAAACAACUUGUUGUUUGGUUUUAUCAUGUAUCAUAAAUUUUGAUAAUUUUUCCAAACAGUAACAAAAUUCUAUUGCAGGUCUUUGUUCGUAUCUAAUAGGAUAGGCAAUGACCGCUAUUUAUAUAAAAUUAAUAUAAUCUUAAUGAUAACGAACACAGAUAUCAAGGUCCUUCACAUUGAUAUUUUUUCUAUAAGUACAUUACUAUAAUAAUAUUCUACAACGAACGUUGGUUUAGUUUUAUCGCAUGUAGAACAAUGGAAAGAUCGAUUCAGAAUAAAAUUGUAGCAGUCGUGGGAGGAGCUCAAGGCAUAGGAUGUGCAAUAGCUGACUGCUUCCUACUCCAUGGAGCAAAAACUGCCAUCCUGCUGGACAUAAACGAUAUACAAGGACCAAAAGCUGAAGAUAGACUAACAGAGAAGCAUGGGAAAGACAAAGCUGUGUACAUAAAGUGUGAUGUGACGACGGAUCUUGAGACAGUUUCCAAAAGAAUCAUUGAAGCUUACAAUACCAUUGAUGUGUUGGUUCUGAGUGCUGGCACAUUAACUCCGGAUCGCAGAAAAAUGAUGGACAUAUACGCGACAUCUGUUAUAGAAUGGUCUAUGAAAUUCUAUGAGCACAUGAGGAAGGAUAACGGAGGAUGCGGUGGAACGAUUAUAACUAUAUCUUCUAUAUUUGGGUUUAGACCGGCGCCUCAUGCUCCAGUGUACCAAGCAGCCAAAUACGCAGUGUUCGGCUUCACGAAAUCCUUAGGUCAUCUUGAUAAUUUUCACAAAACUGGUGUACGUGUUAUGGGACUGUGUCCAGGGUUCACUGAAACCAUUCUUACCCGGAGGAUAAGAGAUCCGGAACGUCAAAAGGAGUUACCGAUAGAUUUAGUGAAAUUCGCAACGUCACUUCCUUGGCAAACUGUUGAGGACGUGGGUGAAGCUGCAGUGGAAGUGUAUGCUCGAGCUGACAGUGGAACCAUGUGGCUGAUUGAAGGUGGACAACCUAUUGAAGAAAUACAGUGAAAAUUAACUUUGCAUGGCGGGUGCGUACCAGGACGUCAGAACAUACAAGGAGCCUCUACUGAGUUCUCUGGAAGAAGAUGAAUCAAGCGAUGGAGUGGUGGAAGUCGAGCCCAGCUUUAUACAGUUGGAGAUCAUGGAUAAUGAUUUCAGAAGGAAUCCGUGAGGGAGGAAAUUAAAGGACAAGGCUCAUAAUUUGCUAAAGCAAUGGAUGAGGUGCUGACUACUAUUGAAGAAGAUUUCCAAAACUGAAAUGGAAAAUGGAUUGACAAACUAGUCUUCGACUAGGCCUGACCAAGUCAGUAAAUUACGUGGAAGGGACGACCCAAGGAGACCCCUGGAGAAAAUUAAUUGAUCUAUGUAUUUAUUAAUUAAUUGGAAAGUUACUUAUAACUAAGGUCAAGUGAGGGACAGUGUACCUAUUAAAGGGUAUAUUUAUUUGUAGUCGUUGAGUGUGUGUUAUGUUCUUUAACGUACCGUAGUUCAGGCAUUUCUCUCAAAUCAGUUUUCCUUAAAUAAAAUUAACUUCCUUUUCAAUCAACUCUUGCUUCUUUUA